RNAcentral lists this long non-coding RNA (548 nucleotides) under Lotus japonicus. RNAcentral's name for it is "long non-coding RNA (LJAP_LNC000152)". Lineage: Eukaryota; Viridiplantae; Streptophyta; Magnoliopsida; Fabales; Fabaceae. The record is from RNAcentral.
UAACAUAUAUGAGGCAACUGGAGCUCCAACUAAACGAAAGAGAAUGCACCAUCAAAUACUAAUAAAUGAAAGGACAAAAUUUGCUUCUGCAUAGCCAACACGCACUGGACCUUCAAUUAUCUUUCAAAUAACAGGUCACAAGACUCCAACAAAAUUGCCAGGGGAGCAAAUUCUCACAAGCUCCACACCACCAAGCAUCUAGCAAUGCGUAAUAGAGCAGAGGGCGAAACAGAGCUUCACGGUAACAAGCAAAAGCAGGGUCGUAACCAAGUGGCAUCUACAAGCAAACUAAUGCCUUCUAAACAUAUUAUAAAGAUUCCAGGCAUACCAAUGGAUUUGAGGUCCAUUCAAAGAAAGAGAAUAGGAAGCCUUUCACCUUUGAAUUUAGCCACAUCCAUGACUUGUAUUGGAUCCUUUCCAAGGCGUUUGACAGUACCAGCUCCUCACCUUUAAAGAUCAAACUGUUUAUGAUACAGUAGCCAACCAAAUGAAACCCAACCCUUCCAUCUUAUCCUUUCCACAGUGAAUUCCCAAACAUUGCAGAAAAU